RNAcentral lists this ribosomal RNA (253 nucleotides) under uncultured bacterium. Its description in RNAcentral is "partial 16S ribosomal RNA". It matches the Rfam family "Bacterial small subunit ribosomal RNA", at positions 524 to 776 of the family's 1533-position model. The record is from RNAcentral.
GACGAAGGGGGCUAGCGUUGCUCGGAAUCACUGGGCGUAAAGCGCACGUAGGCGGCUUUCUAAGUCAGGGGUGAAAUCCUGGAGCUCAACUCCAGAACUGCCUUUGAUACUGGAGAGCUUGAGUCCGGGAGAGGUGAGUGGAACUCCGGGUGUAGAGGUGAAAUUCGUAGAUAUUCGGAAGAACACCAGUGGCGAAGGCGGCUCACUGGCCCGGUACUGACGCUGAUGUGCGAAAGCGUGGGGAGCAAACAGG